Molecule: ribosomal RNA, 468 nt
Filed under: uncultured bacterium
Lineage: Bacteria
Description: partial 16S ribosomal RNA
Rfam family: Bacterial small subunit ribosomal RNA
Source: RNAcentral
GACGAACGCUGGCGGCGUGCUUAACACAUGCAAGUCGAACGGAAAGGCCCUGCUUUUGUUGGGUGCUCGAGUGGCGAACGGGUGAGUAACACGUGAGUAACCUGCCCUUGACUUUGGGAUAACUUCAGGAAACUGGGGCUAAUACCGGAUAGGAGCUCCUGCUGCAUGGUGGGGGUUGGAAAGUUUCGGCGGUUGGGGAUGGACUCGCGGCUUAUCAGCUUGUUGGUGGGGUAGUGGCUUACCAAGGCUUUGACGGGUAGCCGGCCUGAGAGGGUGACCGGCCACAUUGGGACUGGGAUACGGCCCAGACUCCUACGGGAGGCAGCAGUGGGGAAUAUUGCACAAUGGGCGGAAGCCUGAUGCAGCAACGCCGCGUGCGGGAUGACGGCCUUCGGGUUGUAAACCGCUUUCGCCUGUGACGAAGCGUGAGUGACGGUAAUGGGUAAAGAAGCACCGGCUAACUACGUG